RNAcentral lists this ribosomal RNA (431 nucleotides) under uncultured bacterium. RNAcentral's name for it is "bacterial SSU rRNA". It matches the Rfam family "Bacterial small subunit ribosomal RNA", at positions 39 to 455 of the family's 1533-position model. The record is from RNAcentral.
GGCCGCGGGAAUUCGAUUCAGGCCUAACACAUGCAAGUCGAACGAUGAAGCUGGAGCUUGCUCCGGUGGAUUAGUGGCGAACGGGUGAGUAACACGUGAGCAAUCUGCCCUUGACUCUGGGAUAACUGCGGGAAACUGUAGCUAAUACCGGAUACGAGACUGAGAGGCAUCUUUCAGUCUGGAAAGAAUUUCGGUCAAGGAUGAGCUCGCGGCCUAUCAGCUAGUUGGUGAGGUAAUGGCUCACCAAGGCGACGACGGGUAGCCGGCCUGAGAGGGUGACCGGCCACACUGGAACUGAGACACGGUCCAGACUCCUACGGGAGGCAGCAGUGGGGAAUAUUGCACAAUAGGGGAAAGCCUGAUGCAGCAACGCCGCGUGAGGGAUGUAUAUCGUUCGGGUUGUAAACCUCUUUAGCAGGGAAGAAGCGAAA